RNAcentral lists this ribosomal RNA (253 nucleotides) under uncultured bacterium. RNAcentral's name for it is "partial 16S ribosomal RNA". It matches the Rfam family "Bacterial small subunit ribosomal RNA", at positions 524 to 776 of the family's 1533-position model. The record is from RNAcentral.
UACGUAGGGGGCAAGCGUUGUCCGGAAUUACUGGGCGUAAAGGGCGCGUAGGCGGCCUGCUAAGUCGGAUGUGAAAUCCCUCGGCUCAACCGAGGAACUGCAUCCGAUACUGGCGGGCUUGAAUCCGGGAGAGGGAUGUGGAAUUCCAGGUGUAGCGGUGAAAUGCGUAGAUAUCUGGAGGAACACCGGUGGCGAAGGCGGCAUCCUGGACCGGUAUUGACGCUGAGGCGCGAAAGCUAGGGGAGCAAACGGG